UACAGAGGUCCCAAGCGUUGUUCGGAUUCACUGGGCGUAAAGCGCACGCAGGCGGUCUGCCAAGUUUGGAGUGACAGUUGGUGGCUCAACCACCGAAGUGCUUCGAAAACUGACAGACUUGAGGACUUCAGAGGGACACGGAAUUCCGGGUGGAGUGGUGAAAUGCGUAGAGAUCCGGAGGAACACCGAAGGCGAAGGCAGUGUCCUGGGGAGUACCUGACGCUCAGGUGCGAAAGCUAGGGGAGCGAACGGG
RNAcentral lists this ribosomal RNA (253 nucleotides) under uncultured bacterium. Its description in RNAcentral is "partial 16S ribosomal RNA". It matches the Rfam family "Bacterial small subunit ribosomal RNA", at positions 524 to 776 of the family's 1533-position model. The record is from RNAcentral.